RNAcentral lists this ribosomal RNA (162 nucleotides) under uncultured bacterium. RNAcentral's name for it is "partial 16S rRNA". It matches the Rfam family "Bacterial small subunit ribosomal RNA", at positions 355 to 510 of the family's 1533-position model. The record is from RNAcentral.
UAGGGAAUCUUCGGCAAUGGACGAAAGUCUGACCGAGCAACGCCGCGUGAGUGAAGAAGGUUUCGGAUCGUAAACUCUGUUGGUAGAGAAGAACGUUGGUGAGAGUGGAAAGCUCAUCAAGUGACGGUAACUACCCAGAAAGGGACGGCUAACUACGUGCCG